AACGAACGCUGGCGGCAUGCCUAACACAUGCAAGUCGAACGAGACCUUCGGGUCUAGUGGCGCACGGGUGCGUAACGCGUGGGAACCUGCCCUUAGGUUCGGAAUAACUCCCCGAAAGGGGUGCUAAUACCGGAUAAUGUCUUCGGACCAAAGAUUUAUCGCCUUUGGAUGGGCCCGCGUUGGAUUAGCUAGUUGGUAGGGUAAAAGCCUACCAAGGCGACGAUCCAUAGCUGGUCUGAGAGGAUGAUCAGCCACACUGGGACUGAGACACGGCCCAGACUCCUACGGGAAGGAGGAGUGGGGGAUAUUGGAAAAUGGGCGGAAGGCUGAACCAGCAAUGCCGCGUGAGUGAUGAAGGCCUUAGGGUUGUAAAGCUCUUUUACCCGGGAUGAUAAUGACAGUACCGGGAGAAUAAGCUCCGGCUAACUCCGUG
Molecule: ribosomal RNA, 433 nt
Filed under: uncultured bacterium
Lineage: Bacteria
Description: partial 16S ribosomal RNA
Rfam family: Bacterial small subunit ribosomal RNA
Source: RNAcentral